Molecule: ribosomal RNA, 582 nt
Filed under: Triticum aestivum (bread wheat)
Lineage: Eukaryota; Viridiplantae; Streptophyta; Magnoliopsida; Poales; Poaceae
Description: partial small subunit ribosomal RNA
Source: RNAcentral
AUGGAUCAGGAGCUGAUCGAGCACCUCGAGGCCAAAGUGAGUGCUGACAGCGCGAGAUCUCACCCUCUCAUCGAUUUGUUCAUACCAACCAUUGACAGCGAGCACGGCAUAUGCUACACCCAACCUGAGAAACUUCCAGGUAUCACACAAAGUGGCCUAAGGAAGCAUAUCUUCCAGUGCAAUUCCAGGGCUUUCAAAAGGGGCACCUGGACACGUCGCAAGAUACAGUCGGAGUGCGGCAUGCACGCGAUGUGGCACAAGACCGGCAAUACCUUGCCGGUGAUGACGGGCAGCAAAAAGGUUCUGGUGCUGCACAUCAACAAGAACUUCGACCAGCAUAGGACCAACUGGGUGAUGCACCAGUACCACCUCGGGGACCUGGAGCAAGAGAAGGAGCGGGAGCUGUUGUACUACCUUGUCGUCCGCAAGUUGGUAUUGUUGUUAACGAUCUUUUGGUCGAGCAAGUUUCAACUGGGCUGUAGACUGCCCAGGCUUGGUUUUCUUUUUAACAGGCCCACCAUGACGACAACGGGGUACAAAGAUCCAGCAGGUAUCUACUGGCCUCUGGCCCGCGAGCGUUAG